CAAGAAUAUUAGUCAAUGCUCGCAAGAGUGAACUAGCUAACUGGAAUCAUGAGUGUGUCACUCGUGAAUUGUAAAAGGAAAAAUAAUGAUGUCACUUUUACAAAUAGUGUUGUCUAAACCUGGUGCCAGAAGACUCGGUAAGGCCAGAGACGCAAGCGUUAAUCAUCCUGAUCAGGCGUAAAGGGUUUGUAGGCAGCUUUAAUAUAAUUAAAGAUUGAAUCAAAUAGAGGUCAAGAGAAUUCCCAGAUUAGGGUUGAUAUCUGAAUAAACUGGGAAGAAUUCUAAAUAGCGAAGGCACUUUUCUAUCUAAUGAUUGACGCUGAGAAACGAAGGGGAGGAUAGAAAACAGGAUUAGAUACCCUAAUAUCCCUCUCUGUAAACGAUGAAUGGUAGUUGCUAGUAAUAAUAAUUAGUGACGAUGCUAACGCGUUAACCAUUCCGCCUUGUGAGUACGACUGCAAAGUUGAAAACAAAAAAAUUAGUCGGUUUCGGAGCAA
RNAcentral lists this ribosomal RNA (497 nucleotides) under Statesia cazaresii. RNAcentral describes it as "SSU rRNA". It matches the Rfam family "Bacterial small subunit ribosomal RNA", at positions 356 to 928 of the family's 1533-position model. Lineage: Eukaryota; Fungi; Basidiomycota; Agaricomycetes; Hysterangiales; Hysterangiaceae. The record is from RNAcentral.